CUAAAAAUACCCAGAAUGCACCUGAUCUCAUCAGAUCAUGGAAGUUAAGCUGGAUUGGACCAGGAUAGUGGUGGGAUAGGCAUCCACCAUGCAUAAAACAGGUAUGGA
RNAcentral lists this ribosomal RNA (108 nucleotides) under Petromyzon marinus (sea lamprey). The record is from RNAcentral. Lineage: Eukaryota; Metazoa; Chordata; Hyperoartia; Petromyzontiformes; Petromyzontidae.